Molecule: long non-coding RNA, 742 nt
Organism: Lolium perenne
Lineage: Eukaryota; Viridiplantae; Streptophyta; Magnoliopsida; Poales; Poaceae
Source: RefSeq, a predicted model, not a curated record
ACCAGUAAACAGUCCAGGGAAGAAAAAAUGGUGAGAGUGAACAGAAGGCGUGGAAGGGGGAUGGAGAUGGCCACCAUGAGUCCAUGAGAGUGGCUGGCCACCCGUUUCUUCUCCAACCAUGUCGCUGUUGUUGGCAGGACAGCGGAUCUGGACUCUGCGUAGCUGCUGGGCGGGCUACCGGGCGACGCCGAGGCCAACAACGUGAGCUCCUUGUCGAGGUGGGCGGAGCCACGGAGGGCGGUGCUGGAGCGGCUGCGCGCGUCCUUGUCCGCUGCAGAGCGGCCAGAGAGCUAGUAGGAGCAUGAUCGAGCGUGGAUUGGGACAUCGGUGGUAGGCGAAAGCUGAUGGAUCAUCCACUGCCUUUGUCUCUUGAUCAAUAUGCUCCAAUGCGCAGUUUGGAGACAAACACCUAUUCCACUAUCUGUCAUGUCCACAUUUGCGGAAGCAAUUUCCUUUGAGUGAAAUGUACCCUCUGAACAAUAAAUAUGCUUCUUAGGUGAACCCGUUCAUCUCCCAUGGUAAAGCGAUAAGCGCAACCAUUAAUCUGCAGGACCGUCUCUGGUCCACCUAGCUUCAUGGCUCGCAGUGCUUCUUUGUGAUAGGGGAAGGAUACUACAAUCUUUUCGUCAGAGAACUUGUGAACACUAAUACCUCUAGAUGUAGCUACUUUGUCUGUAGCUGAGUUAAUCACGGAGUCAGCCAGAACUGUGUGUAUUCUAGAGACAACUCUAUUAUGUAAGCA